UUCAGAUUUCCAGUUUAUAGCGCUGAGUGAGCCAUACGCUAUAACUCACAGUGGUUUUAAGGAAUCCACAAAUGCAGACUCUGGAGAAGAGAACCUUAUGAAAGCCAGCUAGUUUCUGUGAAAAUGUCAUGGUUUGAUGAAACUGUGACACUGAAGACGCAGACCUUGACAGGGUUAUCCAGGUUUUGUCAUCUUGCGGAUGGAUUACUGCAGUGUACUCUGCAUAGGACUAUACUUGAAAUCCAUCCAGAGGGCGUAUCUAGAGCAAAAUGCAGGAUAUUAAGCAUUACAAGAGGUCAGAAAAUGGGGAAAGAGGCAGUUUCUGCUGAAAA
Chelonia mydas (Green sea turtle) is the source of this 332-nucleotide long non-coding RNA. RefSeq lists it as uncharacterized. The transcript is spliced from 3 exons. The record is from RefSeq and is a predicted model, not a curated record. Lineage: Eukaryota; Metazoa; Chordata; Testudines; Cheloniidae.